UGCGCGCCGUGAUUGGAGGAUAGAGCCAGAGGGAGGAGCCACGAUCUAAGGUAGUGCCAAAGACUCUGCUGUAGAGUUCUCCUGAAAUUGUCUGAAGCAUAUUGGUUCCAGAUUUUUCCUGAAACAGGCCUUCGGUCCCUACACACCACCUCCACCACUCCAACACCCCCCACCUCCUUUUUUUCCCCUCAGCACAGCCCAAGACAGACAAUAGAGCUCCGGGUCACCUCCACACAUCUGGGAGCCAUUUCCUCCCCAAAGGACUCACUUCCUGUGGGCAGUCGCUUAACUUGGAGGUGUUUCUACAAGAGGUCAUGAUGGGAUCAUAGGAAAAGGGCUUUGCUUAAAGAUUCCCUGCAGCAACUUCACAUUCUUUUGCAUGAGACGAGAAGACAACAGUGAAAGGUUUUUUUCUCUUUGAUCACAACACCUGGACGUCUCCCACAAAUCAAACGACAGCCGCUUACAAAAAAACAAAAAAGACUUCUGGUGAAUUUAAAUGGAUAUAUCCUACAGAUGGGAUGCUUUUCCUGAGGAGCUUCAGUCGUCUGACUCAUCCUUAAGAGACACUUGAGCACUUUCAGAGUUUGAUAAAAGAGACUCGAGAUUUGCUGUAGACUUGUCAUGACUUAACUCUUGCACACUUGAGCUGUGUCUAUGCCUUGUUUUGACAGGAUUGAUUGUGUUAAAAAGUUCUGACCAAAUGUAUCUGUUCAUCUUUACAAGACAAUUUGAUAGACACACAAGAUUAUUAAGCUUUGAAAUAAAAGUAUUAUGUU
This is a long non-coding RNA of Carassius auratus (goldfish), 779 nucleotides long. RefSeq lists it as uncharacterized. The transcript is spliced from 3 exons. The record is from RefSeq and is a predicted model, not a curated record. NCBI's taxonomy places the organism in Eukaryota, Metazoa, Chordata, Actinopteri, Cypriniformes, Cyprinidae.